This 533-nucleotide ribosomal RNA is filed under the name Zoanthus aff. pulchellus CL-2019. RNAcentral describes it as "partial 16S ribosomal RNA". It matches the Rfam family "Bacterial large subunit ribosomal RNA", at positions 1849 to 2410 of the family's 2925-position model. Lineage: Eukaryota; Metazoa; Cnidaria; Anthozoa; Zoantharia; Zoanthidae. The record is from RNAcentral.
AGGGUGAUGCCUGCCCAAUGGUUGUAUCUAAAAGCGGUUGAUAAAAGUCGACCUUGUAAGGACAAUUGAAUGGCCGCGGUAACACUGACCGUGAUAAUGUAGCGUAAUCAAUAGCCAAUUAAUUGUUGGCCAGUAUGAAUGGCGCCACGAAGGCCCCACUGUCUUAAGGAAAUUCCCAGUGAAAUUGAAUUCGUAGUGAAGAUGCUACGUCCAAUUUGUUAGACGAAAAGACCCCGUUGAGCUUUACUGGAGCACUUAUAUGGCCCCGGCCUUCCCAUGCCUGGGAACCGGCCGAAUUUAAAUGGGCGGCUUAGAUUAUGUGGCAGCCCCCCGCUGGGGCAAAUGAAACACCACUCCCCCAUGUCAAAGGGGCUAACCCCCCCCUUGGGGGGGACAGUGUAAGUAGGACAGUUUGGUUGGGGCGACCGCCUUUUAAAAAGUAACGAAGGUGCGCUUAAGGUGUGCAAUUAAUGACUGAAGCCUGACUGCGAGGGGGGUACCCCGAGCAGACACCCCUAAGCCCGCCCGAAGGG